GAUGAAGAACGUAGUGAAAUGCGAUAAGUAGUGUGAAUUGCAGAAUUCAGUGAAUCAUCGAAUCUUUGAACGCACAUUGCGCCCCUCGGUAUUCCGUGGGGCAUGCCUGUUCGAGCGUCAUUUAACCCCUCAAGCCUAGCUUGGUAUUGGGUGCUUGUCCCGCCUCUCGCGCGGCGACUCACCUCAAAGUCAUUGGCAGCCCGCAUCUCGCCGGCCGUGAGCGCAGCACAGACGCGCUCUUGGCAACGACGGAUCGGCUCUCCAAAAGCUUAUUACAACCACUGACCUCGGAUCAGGUAGGGAUACCCGCUGAACUUAAGCAUAUCAAUAAGCGGAGGA
Molecule: unclassified non-coding RNA, 339 nt
Filed under: soil metagenome
Description: partial contains 5.8S ribosomal RNA, internal transcribed spacer 2, and large subunit ribosomal RNA
Rfam family: 5.8S ribosomal RNA (bases 1-120)
Source: RNAcentral